Molecule: long non-coding RNA, 24189 nt
Filed under: Solanum tuberosum (potato)
Lineage: Eukaryota; Viridiplantae; Streptophyta; Magnoliopsida; Solanales; Solanaceae
Description: long non-coding RNA (STUB_LNC000288)
Source: RNAcentral
AAGGCGAGUCAUAUUUUUUUAGUGGAUUUACGUGGGAAUCAGUAGUCAUAGGCUACAGUUUUGGACUAGUUGUUGGAACUGUCAUGUGGAGUCUCAUGUUUAAAUAUCGUAAGCCAAAAUGGUUUGUGGAAUUUUUCUAUGGACUCAUGCCUCACAAAAGAAGAAGGCCAAAGAAGAGAGCUCAGAGAUGACAGACUUAAUGGAAGAUUGAGAGGGCCAACUUGUUUUUGAUUGAUUUUGUGGACUAAUUAGUGAACUUUUCUGGUUCUGUUUUUGUCUUUUCAAUUUUCUGUUUGUUAUUUGUAUAUGUUUGAUAGAAACAUAAUUAUAUAUGAGCCAUUUAAUUAGUAUCAAUGGUUAUUCAAGUUAUGUUUCUGUUUCAAGUUGACAUAAGUGAUCCACACAGCCACUUAUUAAUUAGCUAUGUUACUCGGACUUUUCAAAAAUGCCAACGGGUACUUGUUGGAUUCUUCAAAGUAUUGCAUUUCUCAAGGAACCAACACAGGUGUGACAUCAUUAUAUUUUAGGAGAGUUGGAGCAACAUAGCUCAUUAGUACAACAAAAAGGAAAAAGCAAAGCAGUAAGCAUAUAGAGUUUGGUUCAUGAUUGAAAUCACUUGAUAUUAGAAAGUUCAUAUAUUCAGCAUAACUGCAUGUCCAUUUUACAUUACAGUUCUUCUUAUACAAACUAGAAAAGAAAAUCUUGUGUUUACAGAAACUGAAAAUUGAUUUUCUAUAAUGUAAUACAUUUGCAUUGACCACACUACCCUUAUGUCACUGUGUUUUACAGGUUACCAAGUCUAAGAAAAAAAGUAAGAUUUUUUAAAUUUGUGAUUUUGAAUAUGACGUGCGAUUUUUGUGGCUAAUUAAUUACAUAUAUGCAUCAAAUCAUCUUUUAUUUGAAUAGCUUCGCCUUCUUAUAUGAACAAAUGACGCUUGCUCAAGUGGUUGAGCAUCUUCAUCAUUAGCCGGCAUACUAGAGAAUAAGUGGAAACACUAUGAAUCCUCCUAAAGUUGGGUCGGAACUCGAGGCUCAGUUAACCUUUUUUCUUUGUUGCUUAAUCUAAUACGAGAUUUUAUUAAUAAUAGAGUGCAAACUAGCUGUAAAGUAUCAACUUUGUCCCCAUUACGUUUUUUUCUACUACAAAAAAACUAGAAAAGUGAGAAGUGUUGUGGAAAAUUAUAGAAUGUACCUAACAUGUUUGAAAACAACUAAUCAGGAAUUUCUGAUAUUAUUUCUCUGCAAUCUUUAACAUUAAAUAUUGACCAAGUCAAGUAUCUCUGGUGGUGGAAUUAGAAUGUUGAGUUAGCUUUACUUUUAUUUCUUUCUUGUUUAAGAUCUUAUAUUUAUAAAAUAAGGCAACAUGUCCUAUCAUUAUUAUACUAAAUUUAUUUUUCUUCUUGUUUAAGAGCUUAUAUUUCUGUAAAGACUCUGUAUGUAAUAUUUUUCUUCUUUCUUUUGUUUUUCUCUUGAUUAGACUUUUUAAAUUUGAUUUUCUAUGAAUUUCUUAAUGUCGUAAGUUUUUGUUUGUGCUCAAAUUAGCCAUUUGUGAUUUAAUUGAAAGUGUUCUAACUACUAAUCAAAGUUUAAAAUUUAUAAUUAUUAGUGUGAAAGGAAUUAAUUUUAACAUUAAAAUAUGACCCUCAUUUGAUCACACUUUUAAGGAUUUAUUUAUAAUUAUUACAUUUUAUUACUCAAUACAUAUAUAUUUUCAUAUAAUUUUUAAUUGUUUUGAGAUGUAUAAAAAUUUAGAUGAAACACAUGUGCAACUCAGAAACUAGUAUAUAUACAUGGAUUUUGUAAGAAGAGAACAUCCAUCCUGUUAUUUGCUGAAAACAAACAAACAAAAAAUGGUCAUGAGUCUCUUUUUCUUUUAUUCAUUUCUCUGUUUUGUGUUGCUAAUAAGUGAAUGCUUUUCUUUUUCCUUUGAGCAUCAUCUUUGCUCUCCCACUGAAGCUUAUGCUUUGCUUCAGUUUAAGCAAUCCUUUAAAAUAUCUGAUUACUCUAGUUUUGAGUGUGAUACUUCUUUUCCAAAAACAAAUUCUUGGAAUGAGAGUAGGGAUUGCUGCAGUUGGGAUGGAGUCACUUGUAACUUAUUAAACGGUCAUGUUAUUGGGUUAGACCUUAGUUGUAGUCUGCUUGGUGGAAGUAUUCAUCCCAAUAGCAGCCUCUUCCAACUUCAUCAUCUCCACACACUAAACCUUGCUUACAAUGACUUCGAUUAUCCUUCUUCAAUCCCACAUAACAUUGGUCAAUUGACGAAUUUGAGGCAUCUCAACCUUUCUCAUUCUCACUUUGAUGGAAAAAUCCCAACAGAAAUCUCAUACCUUUCCAAUUUGGUUUCACUUGAUCUUUCUUCUUUUUAUGGUUAUGUUUUACAACUUGAUGAGAGAACAUUUGAAACAAUGCUUCACAACUUCACAAAUCUGGAGCUACUUUCUCUCUCUUUUGUCAACAUCUCAUCUCCGAUGCCUGUGAAUGUUUCUUCCUCCUUAAGGUACCUCGAUCUUGGUUAUACUAAUAUGCGAGGUGUUCUCACAGAGAGCUUUUUCCUUCUGUCAAACAGCUUGGAAACGCUCAAAUUAAGUGAUAAUGAUCUUCUCAAAGGAGUUUUUCCAAAGACCCACCCGAGCAACACUCUGUUAAUGGAGUUGGAUAUUUCAGGCACAGGCAUCUCCGGUGAGCUGCCUCAUUCAAUUGGCACCUUCAGUUCCUUGAAUAUCUUGAACCUCUAUGGAUGUCAAUUCUCUGGUUCCAUUCCUGAUUCCAUAGGAAACCUAACACAAAUUACGGAGUUGCUUUUAUCUUAUAAUCAUUUCACUGGCCAUAUUCCUUCCACAAUCUCUAAAUUGAAGCACCUCAGAAUUUUAUAUCUUUCUGACAAUUCCUUCUCAGGUGAAAUUCCUGAUGUUUUCUCUAACCUCCAAAAGCUAUACUAUUUAGAUCUUUCUGAAAACAGCUUCACUGGUCCAUUUCCUGCUUCAAUUUUAGGUUUGACACAUCUUGAAUACUUAGACAUGUCGAGUAAUUCCCUAUCUGGCCCACUACCUAGCAACCAAAGCAUGCUUCAAAAGCUAACUUCUGUGGAUUUGUCAUACAACUCACUGAAUGGUACCAUACCAUCUUGGGUGUUUCGCCUACCUUUGCUAUCUUCAGUGUCGCUCCAACAUAACCGAUUCAGAGGACUAGCCGAGGAAGUGAUCAAAACAAACCCAACAUUAAAACAACUGCUUUUAAGCAAUAAUCAACUCAGUGGUUCUUUUCCUCAAUCACUUGUGAAUCUCACAAACCUUGAAACCCUUGGAAUUUCAUCAAAUAACAUCACCAUUGAUGAGGGAAUGAAUAUCACCUUUCUUAGCCUAUCAUCUUUAUUCUUAUCAUCUUGUCAACUGAAGUAUUUUCCACACUUCUUGAGAAAUGUAAACACACUUGAGGGCUUGGAUAUUUCUAACAAUAAGAUUUGUGGUCAAAUCCCUAACUGGUUUAGCAGCAUGAGGUGGGACUCAUUGCUGUUCCUAAACCUUUCUCAUAAUUCAUUAACAGGCCACCUACCACAAUUUCAUUACUAUAACCUACCACAAUUUCUGUUUCAAGUUGACAGAAGUGAUCUACACAGCCGCUCAUUAGCUAUGUUACUCAAACUCUUCAAAAAUGUCAAUGGGUACGUGUUGGAUUCUUCAAAAGUAAUGCAAUUUUUAAGGAACCAACACAGGUGUCAUUAUAUUUUAGGAGAGUCGAAACAACAUAACUCAUAUUUCUUAACAUUUUCUGCUUCUACAUUUAUUGCUGUUAAAGAUCAUUGCUUGAAAUGGCUUAACUCAUACACACAGAGGAUAGCAACUAUUGAGCUGUUGACUGAAGUGUUCCAUUUAUUAAUACAACAAAACAGGAAAAGGCUACAUCCACCUCUGGGGCUCAUGUUGUUCUGUUUCUUCAAAUGCAAAACACUCUCUAUCAUGAUAUUCUUUAUUUUCAAGGUUCGAAUCUGAAACCCUUGGUUCAAUUUUACCUGGAACCAUUCAUUUAGCAUAACUAGAUGUCUUAUCGCAUUAUAGUUAUUAUACAAAGUGAAAAAAUUCAAGGGAUAAUAAGACCAUCUCAAAAAUCGGGUGUGUAACUGAAAAAUCUGACUCGACUUUAAGGGUAUACUUAGGGUGGUUCAAAAUCGAACCAUAACCGAUAGGCCAAUCGCAAAAUUGGCUUAUUUGUAUUGGAUUAUCGGAUUAACGGUUGAUCAACGAUUAAAAUUUUAUAGUUACGGUGCGGUGGCAGAUUACUCAAUUUCCUUAGGGAAAAUUACGCGGAAAAGCAAACAUAUACUAGUUAAUUAGCUAAUAUAGAUAUCACGACCCAAGUCUACACCCUGGAUGUGGCCGGCACUCAAGAACCAUUGUUGAUCCCCAAGCGAACCCUCAUCCUGACAGACUAACUUAAGCAUGCAAAAGCUUAAAAUUGAAAUUCAAUAAACUCAACUUUGUAAAACAUUAACUCAAAUGAACAACUUAGAAUAAAAAUAAUAUAUUCAACUCGCCAUAAAAUAGGCAACUUAAGUCUUUAAAACAUUUAAUAAAAUAAAUAAAUAAUACAGACUUUUCAACUAUACUGACUAUCUGUGAAGCCUCUAACUAAUAAAGAUAGAAGUCGAGACAAGACCCACGACAUCAUGACUAAACUAAAAAGUAAAUGAAAUCCUCCGGAAACAAGGAGGCUCACCAUAGCUAACUCGAACUCCCGGAUGUAUCAACGAAUCUCCUGUUAAUGAUCCUGAAUACAUAUGUCUGCAUCAUGAAAAGAUGCAAGCCAAAUGGCUCAGUACGUGGAAUGUACGAGCAUGUAAGGGGAAUUCUAAAACAUAAACAUAAGCUUGAAACUUGAUAAAAAGGAGACAUACUUUCCUCUUUUCAAACUUACUCAACUAAAGGAAUACUCAAGGACACUCAAAACUACUCAAACUUACUCAACUCAGAAGUACUCAAGGAUAAGAAACUCAACUAAGUAAUAAUUUUCUCAACUCAGUGAAACUCAACAAUAAGGUACUCGACACAAUGAANNNNNNNNNNNNNNNNNNNNNNNNNNNNNNNNNNNNNNNNNNNNNNNNNNNNNNNNNNNNNNNNNNNNNNNNNNNNNNNNNNNNNNNNNNNNNNNNNNNNNNNNNNNNNNNNNNNNNNNNNNNNNNNNNNNNNNNNNNNNNNNNNNNNNNNNNNNNNNNNNNNNNNNNNNNNNNNNNNNNNNNNNNNNNNNNNNNNNNNNNNNNNNNNNNNNNNNNNNNNNNNNNNNNNNNNNNNNNNNNNNNNNNNNNNNNNNNNNNNNNNNNNNNNNNNNNNNNNNNNNNNNNNNNNNNNNNNNNNNNNNNNNNNNNNNNNNNNNNNNNNNNNNNNNNNNNNNNNNNNNNNNNNNNNNNNNNNNNNNNNNNNNNNNNNNNNNNNNNNNNNNNNNNNNNNNNNNNNNNNNNNNNNNNNNNNNNNNNNNNNNNNNNNNNNNNNNNNNNNNNNNNNNNNNNNNNNNNNNNNNNNNNNNNNNNNNNNNNNNNNNNNNNNNNNNNNNNNNNNNNNNNNNNNNNNNNNNNNNNNNNNNNNNNNNNNNNNNNNNNNNNNNNNNNNNNNNNNNNNNNNNNNNNNNNNNNNNNNNNNNNNNNNNNNNNNNNNNNNNNNNNNNNNNNNNNNNNNNNNNNNNNNNNNNNNNNNNNNNNNNNNNNNNNNNNNNNNNNNNNNNNNNNNNNNNNNNNNNNNNNNAUGUGGAAUUAUGAGCAUGAACUACUCAACUCAAGACUGUUCGACUUAUAGGAUUCAUGCCAAAUUAUGGGCAUGAACACUUCAACUCAAGGACUUCAUGAGUAAUAUGAAAUAGUUCCAUGAUUAGAAAAUAUAAUCUCAAAGGGGAUUGGGAACUCAAUACUCAAGACUUAGAACUUAAAGAUAUUACCCCUCUCAAUGAUGCUCAAUUUAUGAAGUCUAUGCGGAAUUUAUGGGCAUGAACGACUCGACUAGAAGGUCUACAAACUACAUGGAAUUCAUGUAUAUGACACUUCUCAUUCUCUUACUUACCACCUCAAAACUUAGUUCAAAUCGAUAGUUGAUCUCAAAGGAUUCACAAUUGAACUCAAAGGCUUUCUUGAACUCUAUUCUUAACUUUCUCUUGAAUGUGAAUUAUGAAUUCAAGAGUUAUGGUUCAUGAUAUGAAGGAUAUCAUGAUGACAAAGUAUAUUCAUGAAUACAUUCUCCUCAUCCUCAUACUCACUUGCUCGAGUCUUGAAACAAGUUACUAGAAGUUGUAGAAAACUCCUCAAAAGAGCUCAAAGGGGCUUUCUGAGAAUGUUCGAAAGAAUUCUCAAAACUUAACUCUUAACUCUACCUUGAAUUUGAAUUAUGAAUUCAAGGUUAUGAUAAUGUUAGGAAUGAUUUUAGGUGUUUAGAAGUAUCUUAGAGUAGUUAGAAUCGAAAAGGAGUGAAUGUACCCUUCGAAAGAACUCAAACGAAGCAACCGAUUGCAAACUGGACGGGGCAGGAGACCCUGGGGCUAUGGGUGGCGCGGGGAGCCAGCCCCUAAACUUCAGAGCAUACUUUGGGGCGCUCUGGUUGGCGCUACGCGCCAGGACCCAACCCAGAAGACCCGACGAAAUUCUUUGCUAGUUUUCUCACCCUAUUUCGCUUAGAAUCGAGCGGUUUCUUCCCCAAUCACUUGGAUUCGAUUAUUUAACAUAAGUACACUCUAAUAUAUUCAAUACAGCCCUAAAAACACUCACAUUAAUCUCAAGAAAUCAUCAAAACUUCAACAAAACAAGAUUUAAAAUGAACUUCAAGAACACCUAACAAGAAAUCAUCAAGAACUCUAAUCCUUCAACUUUAAGAACAAAAUUGCGCUGAAAACAACAUGAUUGGCGUGUUGGUGAACAAAUCCAACACUAUGGAAGCUUACAUACCUCUUAGGGAUUAAACCCAUGGCGAAAAUCCGCAACAAAAUGCAAGACUCUCGACGAACGCUUUGAUCAUCUCCUCUUUUCUCCUCUUUUCUCUUCUUGAACUCUCAACUAAAACUCUAGGCUAAUUUUAGGAUUAUAAAACUGAACCUAAUAGGAUUAGACCCUUAAAACCUUACUAAAAAUGAAUUAAAUCCGAUUUGGUAAGGAAAAGACUAAAAUACCCCUCUAAAAUCCGGUUUUGACUUUCCUUAUCUAGACAACCCAACUUCGAAUGCACAUAUCUCCCUCAUACCAACUCAAAAACUGAGAAAACUCGGUGGCGUUGGAAAGAUAAUUCAAAGAUCUUUCCUACGGUAUCUGGUAGCACACCUAAAUCAUUCUGAGAUAGGAGUUAUGGUCGUUUGAAGUCAACCCAAAACUCAUACUUAGCUUAACUUGCAAAAUUUCAAAUAUUUGUUAUUUCCAAUUUAGUUCUUUUUGAUACUCAGGUGCUACAUCUAGUGACCUGACCUUAACACUUAAGAAAUUUUAAAUUCCUUAGUAAAAUCCUACUCACAACGAAGGACGGUUCAAGUCUUAGCUCAAAAUUUUUCUGGGGUGUUACAAUAGCUAUAGUUUGAAUUAAUUACGGCUCGCAACUUAAUUUUAGCUUUAAUUACGCCACUUGUCCUCUUUUAUACAUAUACAAAUACAAAUUAUACACAUAUAUACUCUUAUCGUAUCAUUGACUAAUGAGUAAUUUCUUAACAAGAAACCUUAAUGAUACCAAUAAAGUAUAUAUAUACUGAUUUAGUAUCAAUUUAGCGAAAUUAUCAGCCUUAAUGAUAUCAAUACAGUAUAUGAUAUUGAUUUAGUAUCAGUUAAGCGAAAUUAUCAACCUUAAUGAUACAAAUACAGUAUAUGAUACCGAUUUAGUAUCAGUUAAGCGAAAUUAGUAAGAGGGUAUAUAGUGUAAUUAUUUAGUGGGGUAUGAAUGUAAUGCGGUAUAUGUUUGUAAUUAUUUUGCUUUUAUGGGGUAUUUGCUUAUUUUCCCCUUUUCAUAAAUCUAACUUGAGGUGGGCUGAGUUCUAUUAAAUGUCGGUUGGGCUUGUUUUGCAAUUUCUAAAAGCCCAUUAAGUUUUGGCAUCUAUAUAUAUUUGGGUCAUUCACCAUGAAGUUAAGGAUUAAAAAAAUUUCUUUCCAUAUGACAUUCAUAUUUAAACGAAUUUAAAUUAUAUAUACCAACAAUAUAAAGUCUACAAUCAGUAUAAUUUAACGUGUUCUAGUUAGCAUGUUGUUUACCUUGAUUUGCAGGUUAUUAAUUUCACUUAUAAUGAAGAGUCAUGAUCUAUAGUUACUUUUAGACGAGUUGACAGUAAGAAAAUUUCUUUAAAGCUCUAGCAUACAAUUUUUCGAGAAACAAAAAAUAUAACAAAUGGAGAUAAGCCUAAAAUACCUUCGAACUAUUGGAAACGGAGGUACACACCACUCUCUUCAGACCCCACUUGUGAAAUUACACUAGGUAUGUUACGUUGUUACUCUGUUUCACUUACAAAACACUUUUGCAAAAUAUCAUAUUUUUCUUUUUUUUCCCAUCAGUAGUCUUUGUGGAAAUUGGGUUAGACUUUGGUGGAAUAUUGAUGGAGUUCUAACAAGUCUUGUGGUAAUUUAUUGAGAAGUUUGUAAAACAGACUAAUCAAUUACUUGGAAUGAUCUUCACAAAAUUAUUCAAAACAUACUAACUAAUUAAGCAGGAAAACACAUAUCAAACAAAAUUUUAAAUAAAAUUCCACACGGUAUUGGAAAUUUGUCACAAAAUUCUGCAGAAAUAUUUUCUACCGUGAGUGUUACGUAACGAGACCAAUUAAUUCACAUCAUCUUGCAUAACACACGCUGCAGAGAUAUAUAGUCGAUGACCUUGAAAUGAAUAACAACAUCUAGAGAAAAUGAGGACAUAGGGAGUAUUAUUUUGUUAAGUCUUCUUCGUGCUCUGAAAAGUCUUGUGGAACACUAUAAAAUAAUGUGUAACACGUUGUUAGAAGUGACUAGUACUCAUUCAUGGACCACAAAUGACUGAAAAUUGACUUAACACUUGGGACAACUUUUUAGUAACCACAAAUUAUUACCCCAUUUUAUUUGUCUGGAUGUGUUUCUUUUCUUCGUUAAUUUAUAAUUGAUAGUCCCGUGCAUAAACAAGUCAACAACGCUGCUUUAUGAAUUACUGUUUAGUUAAUUGUUCACUUUAUUUAAUGUGGAGGUCGUUGUAAUAAUUAAGAAUUGGAAUAGUGUUUGGUUAAUUAUAGUGCAUCCUUUCUUAUGUGGCUACUUAUUUUAUUGACUUAUACAUGUCUUGACAAUUAUCAUGAACCCACAUCAUUAUUUUUACGUUUACCUUUUUUAUUCUUUCAUUAUUAAAUAUUCUAAAGUCUACCAAAUGGUAAAACCUUUUACAUUAUACAAAAUAUAUUGUUGGGUGUUAAUAAAAAGAUCAAUUUGUUUUUUGGUGUAUUCUUUAAAUUACAAGCACUACAACAAAAACAACUUUUAGCGGCAAUAAAUAUACACAUUAAUAAAGAGUGUUAAAGUUUUUACCAGCAUUGGUUAAGUAUCAUUAGAUUCAAUGUCGCUAAAAACUUUAGAGACAUACACAAAGAGGGUUAAUUGCCACUAAAAAUACAUUAUAUCAUUAUAUCAAAUUCAACACAACUAUUUCAAUAUCAUUAUAUAAACUUCUUAAAGUUUUGAGUAGGAUUUUAUUAUUCUAACUUUAUAUUAUAUCUUUUCAUUGAAAAUUUUCGUUGUUUGUAUUCUUACUUAAUAAAGGUUUGUGUACCUCCUACUUCCUUGAAACUCUACGCAGUAUGUUAUAAGUAUUUUAAUUUAUGUAUGACAACUAAAAAAAUAAUUAGAGGGCCUUGCCUGUAUGUUUUCAUAGAAUUUUGAUUAUUCUUACAAAUCUAUAAAAAAAUUACAAAGGACACUUAGAAAGUAGUAUAUAUAUGUGUGGAUAAUACUGAUUGAUUUGUAAGAACACAUCCAUCCUGUUAUUUGCUGAAAACAAACAAACAAAAAAUGGUGACUCUGUUUUUCUUUUAUUCAUUUCAGUGUUUUGUGUUGCUAAUAAGUGAAUGUUUUUCUUCAUCCUUUGAUCAUCGUCUUUGCUCUCCCACUGAAGCUUCUGCUUUGCUUCAGUUCAAACAAUCCUUUCAAAAUAUGUCCAGAGAGUCCUGUAAUUAUUCGUGUCAUGGAGAUUGUUUCCCAAUAACAAAGUCUUGGAAUGAGAGUAGGGAUUGCUGCACUUGGGAUGGAGUCACUUGUGACAUGUUAAACGGUCAUGUUAUCGCCCUGGACCUUAGUUGCAGUCAGCUUGUUGGCAAUUUUCAUCCCAACAGCAGCCUCUUCCAACUUCAUCAUCUCCAGACACUAAACCUUGCUUACAAUGACUUCAAUUGGUCUUCAAUCCCACAUAACAUUGGCCGAUUGACGAAUUUGAGGCAUCUCAACCUUUCAUGGUCUCACUUUAGUGGAAAAAUCCCAACAGAAAUCUCAUACCUUUACAAUUUGGUUUCACUUGAUCUUUCUGUGAUUGGAUUCCAACUUGAUGAGACAACAUUUGUAACAAUGCUUCACAACUUCACAAAUCUGGAGGUACUUUCUCUUUAUGGUGUCAACAUCUCAUCUCCGCUACCUGUGAACAUUUCUUCCUCCUUAAGGUACGUGGAUCUUGAAUAUACUAAUCUGCUAGGUGUUCUCACAGAGAGCUUUUUCCUUCUGCCAAACAGCUUGGAAACGCUCAAAUUGAGUGGGAAUGAUCUUCUCAAAGGAGUUUUUCCAAAGAUCCACCCGAGCAACACUCUGUUAAUGGAGUUGGAUAUUUCAUCCACAGGCAUCUCUGGUGAGCUGCCUCAUUCAAUUGGCACCUUCAGUUCCUUGAAUAUCUUGAACCUCGAACAAUGUCAAUUCUCUGGUUCCAUUCCUGAUUCCAUAGGCAACCUAACACAAAUUACGGAGUUGAUUUACUUGGGAAUCAGUAGUCAUAGGCUACACUUUUGGACUAGUUGUUGGAACUGUCAUGUGGAGUCUCAUGUUUAAAUAUCGUAAGCCAAAAUGGUUUGUGGAAUUUUUUGAUGGACUCAUGCCUCACAAAAGAAGAAGGCCAAAGAGAAGAGCUCAAAGACGACGGACUUAAUGGAAGAUUGAGAGGGCAACCUUGUCUUUGUUUGAUUUUGUGGACUAAUUACUGAACUUUUCUGGUUCUGUUUUUGUCUUUUUAAUUUUCUGUUUGUUGUUUGUAUAUGUUUGAAAGAAACAUAAUUAUAUGUGAGUCAUUUAAUUAGUAUCAAUGGUUAUUCAAGUUAUGUUAGUUUGUUUCUGUUUCAAGUUGAUAGAAGUGAUCUACACAGCCGCUCAUUAGCUAUGUUACUCAAACUCUUCAAAAUGUCAACGGGUACGUGUUGAAUUCUUCAAAAGUAGUACAAUUUUAAGGAACCAACAUUGGUGUCAUUAUAUUUUAGGAGAGUCGGAGCAACAUAACUCAUCAGCAUAACAAAACAGGAAAAAGCAAAGCAGUAAGCAAAUUGAUCAGUUUGGUUUAUGAUUGAAAUCACUUGAUAUUAGAAAGUUUAUAUUUUUGAAAAUUAAUGUAGAAGAGUAAUCAAAACUACAGAAUUGGCUAAUAAUUUUGUGGUUCUGCAUCUUUCUAAUCAUAAAUCAGCCAUAAAAUAUUCUCUAGCUCAGUUUCAACUUCCGCGAUUUUAAUUUUAGUAAGUUUUUACAUAUAUUUAUACUUCGUGGACGAAAGUUAUCUCUGGUUGUUCAACAACUAAUUCAUAUUGUUUGAUUAUCAAUGAAGGAAAGGUUUUUUUAAAGGGCAAAACGCUCUAUACGAGGAUUUUUUAUUAUUUUUCAAGUUUGAAUUCAAGACCUGUGAUUCAGUUUCAUCCGGAACUUUACUGUCUACAAAACUACAUGUCAAAGUUAUUUUUGAUGAACUAAAAUAGACUUAUUCCCAAAAUUUAAUUUAACGCAAAAAGAAAUAUAAUCAAAUUAUUUAAAAAUUAAGAAAGACAAAUUAAAACCUUUACAUAAUUUGACACAUGGCAAAAUAUAAUUGGCUAAAAUUUUGGUCCCACAAAUAGUCAACUCACCUGUCAAAAAAUGACAUUCCUAUUUUCUUUUCCUAAUUUUAGUUUGGACACUUUGAAAACAAUUAAAGUAUCUUUGUCUGGUUAUGGCCGUUCAAAGCUUUGAUUAUAACAAGAAAGAUGAUUGAAAAUAUCGGUUUUCUUCCUUUUAAUUGGUUUGUUUUAUUAUUUUUUUGAAAUUUAAUUUAUUUAUCGUACUUUAUACUUAAAUUUGUCUCAAAAAGAAUAAUACGUUUCACAUAUAUAUAUAUAUAUAUAUUUAAGACUAUAACAUUAAAAGAUAUUUUGAUAUGUUUUUUAUAUAACUUUAAUUUAAUAUUAUAUCAUUGAAAAUUCUUCUUUACUUAUAUAUUUUUUUUAUUUUGAAUUUUUAUAUUUCAAUAUUCCACGUGACACGUUAAAAAGUCACUUUAGUAGUAUAAGAUUCAAAAGAUUUUUUUUUCACUUUGUUAAACUUAUAUCAAGUCGAUAGAAACUAGACAAACAAAUUAAAACGAAGUCACACUUUUCAAUACAUAUUCCAACUUUCAUUGAGUCUGAAGAUAUACUUUCUGAUUUAUUUAUUUUCAAGAAUUUACCUGUUGGAAGAACCCCACCAGAAGAAAACUCCAAAAAACAGACUAAAAAUCCCAACUUUGAGUUUUUCUUUCAACAAUUAUAAGUUUCAGUGAAAAUCUCAAGAUGUAAUUUUUUUCAAGAAUUCAUCUUUUAGGAAAACCCCAUAAGAAGAAAACUCCAAAAACAGAUUCAAAAUCUCACCUUUUUUUUAGAUCUUUUCAACAUUUUUCAGUUUAUUAGCUUACAAAAAUCACUGAACAAGGAAGAAGGGAUUCAAGAAAAAGUGGAAUAAAAAUGUCAUUUGUUUUAGGGGUUGUGUUUGGAAUAGCAUUUGGACUUGCUAUAAUAGUUGCUUUUGUGAAAUCUGAAAAUGCUAGAUCCAAACAACGUACUGAUCUGGUUAGUCAACUAAAGUCUUUGUUUUUUUUGGAUCUUUAUUUUUUUCCAUUUCUGGGUUUUUUUUUUGUAUUUAUGUUGUUUUUUUGGUUGAAUUGUAAAGGCUAGUGGAAUUGCUGCAUUUGCUAGAAUGACAGUGGAAGAUUCAAGAAAAAUCUUUACACCAGAACAAUACCCUUCUUGGGUUGUUUUCUCAAAUCAACAAAAGGUGAAGUCGUUUAACUUUUCUUUAAGAUGUAUUUGGUAGGACGCAGAGGCGGAGUCAGAAUUUUUAGUUUAUAUGGGUUCUAGACCACUGUUCUUUUUGUUUUGUUGGGUUUCUGAAAGCUAUGUUGCUCGGACUCUCAGAAAAUGUUGUUUGUACCCAUUCUGGAUUCUCUAAAGUUGCACUAGUUUGGAGUAUACGACACUAACCAUCAACCGUAACCAUUUUUGAAGAGUCCGAACAACAUUGACUGAAAAGACUAUUUUUACAUCUUAUAACAUUAAUAUAGGGUUAAACCAAAGCUACUGGAUUUUGAUGUACUUGUAGCUAAAGCAAUGUCAUUUAUCAUAAAUCUGUAAACUGACUUAUUUUCUAGAAAAUGUUUUUCGUAAUGGAUUUUUUUUUCUGGGAAAAGACAUUUAAUCGGAUAGUGUUUGGUGAAAAUAUUUGAGUAGUAAAGAUUGAUAAUAAUGUUUAUAUGUUGAGAUAAUUGUUUGCUCCUUUUUGGUGGAAAAUGUUUUCGCAAAACAUAUGUUCUAGCAGCCAAAAUCAGAAAAAAGAGAUUACAAACACACCGUUGAUGUCCUUAUCUGUUUUUGGAGCACAUAGUGACCAUAUAAGAUCAUUGAGAUUAAAUUCAUGCAUUAUGGUUCAAAUUGUGGUCUUUGGUUGCAAGACUGUCCCUUUAUGGACUUUGUUUAAUUUCUAUCUAGAAUACAUCUUGUGAUUUAGUUUGUUGAGGGCAAAAAAUGACCUUUUGAAUUUUUCAAUUUUGUUCUUACAGUUGGCAUGGCCAGAUGUUGUGAUUUAGUCAACUAAAGUUUUUGUUUUUUCUUACUUCAAUUUUUUUGGAUUUUUAGUUUUUUCCAUUUUUGGGGUUUUCUGUAUUUAUGUUGUUUUUUUGGUUGAAUUGUUAAGGCUAGUGGAAUUGCUGCAUUUGCUAGAAGGACAGUGGAAGAUUCAAGAAAAAUCUUCACACCAGAACAAAUACCCUUCUUGGGUUGUUUUCUCAAAUCAGCAAAAGAUGAAGUCUUUAACUUUUCUUUAGGAUGUAUUUGGUAGGACGUAGUGGCUGAGUCAGAAUUUUUAGUUUAUAUGGGUUCUAGACCAUUGGUUCUUUUUUGCUUUGUUGGGUUUCUGAAAAUUAUGUUGUUCGGACUCUCAAAAAAUGUUGUUUGUACCCGUGUCGGAUUCUCUAAAGUUGCACUAGUUUGGAGUAUACGCCAGUAACCCAUCACCCAUCACCAUUUUUGAAGAGUCCGAGCAACAUUGACUGAAAAGACUAUUUAUACAUCUUAACAUUAAUAUAGGGUUAAACCAAAGCUACUGGAUUUUGCCGUACUUGUAGCUAAAGCAAUGUCAUUUAUCAUAAAUCUGUAAAAUGACUUAUUUUCUGGAAAAUGUUUUUCGUGAUGGAUUUUUUUCUGGGAAAAGACAUUUAUUGUAGAUUGAAUCAGCAAAUUGGAUAGUGUUUUGGUGAAAAAUAUGUGAGUAGUAAAGAUUGAUAAUAAUGUCUAUAUGUUGAGAUAAUUGUUGUUCCUUUUUGAUGGAAAAUAAGAUUUUACCAAACACACUGUUGAUGUCCUUUACUGUUUUUGAGCACAUAGUGACCAUAUAAGAUCAUUGAGAUUAAAUUAGUGCAUUAUGGUUCAAAUUGUGGUCUUUGGUUGCAAGACUGUCCCUUUAUGGACUUUGUUUAAUUUCUAUCUAGAAUACAUCUUGUGAUUUAGUUUGUUGAGGGCAAAAAAUGACCUUUUGAAUUUUUCAAUUUUGUUCUUACAGUUGGCAUGGCUUAAUUCUCAUCUUGAAUAGAUCUGGCCAUAUGUGGAUGAGGUUAGGGGUUCAAUGUCUAUACAUAGUUUAGUUUUCCACUCUAUUGCGAUUCUGCAAUUUUUCAUUUCCCCCUUUUUUUGGUUCUAAUUUAUGAUUGUUUGAACUUCUUUGUUGCUAAUUGAGUCGGUAUGGGUAUAUAUGGUAAUUCAGGCAGCAUCAGAACUAGUAAAGUCAAGUGUGGAGCCAGUUUUGGAACAAUAUAGGCCUGUGAUUUUGGCGUCGUUAAAAUUUUCAAAGUUCACUCUUGAUACAGUUGCUCCACAAUUCACAGGUUAGUAGAUUAUGGCUGGUGUAACCUGCCUCAAAGCUCUUGUAUAUUGUACUACCUAAAAGUUUUAGGAGUCACUUAUACAUAUGAACAAACUUAUCAGUCCUCUAGGUCUUUAUGGCAUGCUUAUGUCUGGAGUAGCGUAACAUUUCCCUGCACGGACACCACCACCAUCAAAAAAAAAAAACGGCAUAACAUUUUCUUGCCAUUUAUAGCCUCUUGAGAUGUCAAAAUGUGACAAAUAAUUUGAGACAGGCAAGGGUAUAAAAGAUAUUCAAACCUCAAAGAGCAAUCCUAUCAUCUCGUGUCAGUUAAUCCUUAAUAAAAGAAACUGCUUGUGAGGAUGAAUCUCACUACAUUUAACAAAUGCUUGAUCUCAUGUAUAUGCCACUGCAGGGAUUUCUAUUAUUGAAGAUGGAAGUGAGGGUAUUACUAUGGAAUUAGAGAUGCAAUGGGAUGGUACCAUACCAUCUUGGGUGUUUAGCCUACCUUUGCUAUCUUCAGUGUCGCUCCAACAUAACCGAUUCAGAGGUCUAGCUGAUGAAGUGAUCAAAACCGCUCCAACAUAACCGAUUCGGAGGACUAGCCGAUGAAGUGAUCAAAACAAACCCAACAUUAAAACAACUGCAUUUAAGCAAUAAUCAACUCAGUGGUUCUUUUCCUCAAUCACUUGUGAAUCUCACAAACCUUAAAACCCUUGGACUUUCAUCAAAUAACAUCACCAUUGAUGAGGGAAUGAAUAUCACCUUUCUUAGCCCAUCAUCUUUAUUCUUAUCAUCUUGUCAACUGAAGGAUUUUCCACACUUCUUGAGAAAUGUAAAGACACUUGUGUACUUGGAUAUUUCUAACAAUAUGAUUCGUGGUCAAAUUUCUGACUGGUUUAGCGGCAUGAGGUGGGACAACUUGUGGUACCUAAAUAUUUCACAUAAUCUUUUGACAGGUUACCUACCACAAUUGCAUUUCCAUAAUCUAGGGUAUCUUGAUCUGAAAUUUAACUCCCUUCUGGGUCCACUACCCUCAUCCAUUUGUAACAUGAGUUCGCUUAUCUUAUUAGAUUUAUCACGCAACAACUUCAGUAACUACAGUUUCGUAUGAGGAUUCAUUGAGUUUGGUAAUCAAAGGGCAGGAUAUUGAGCUACAAAGAAUCAACACAAUUAUGACAACCAUAGAUCUCUCAAGCAAUCAUUUUGAAGGUGUGAUUCCGAAAACACUAAAGGAUCUCAGCUCACUUUGGCUACUCAAUUUAUCCCAUAACAAUCUCAUAGGUCAUAUUCCAAUGGAACUAGGGCAAUUGAAUACGCUUGAAGCUUUAGAUCUCUCUUGGAAUUGGCUCACUGGAAAUAUUCUGCAGGAACUGACAAGAAUGAACUUUCUGGCCUUCUUAAACGUCUCUCAAAAUCAUCUUGUCGGACCAAUUCCUCACGGUCUACAGUUCAACACAUUCGAAAAUUAUUCGUAUGGCGGAAACCUUGAUUUAUGUGGUCUUCCUUUAUCAAAGCAAUGUGGAACGAGUGAUUCAUCACAUGUUCCUCAACCAUUGGAGUCCGCAGAAGAAGGCGAGUCAUAUUUUUUUAGUGGAUUUUCUUGGGAAUUAGUAGUAAUAGGCUACAGUUUUGGACUUGUCGUUGGAACUGUCAUGUGGAGCCUCAUGUUUAAAUAUCGUAAGUCAAAGUGGUUUGUGGAAUUUUUUGAUGGACUCAUGCCUCACAAAAGAAGAAGGCCAAAGAAGAGAGCUCAGAGACGAAGGACUUAAUGGAAGCUUGAGAGGGCUAAAUUGUCUUUGUUUGAUUUUGUGGACUAGUGAACUGUUCUGUUUUUGUCUUUUUUUAAUUUUCUAUUUGUUGUUUGUAUAUGUUAGAAACAUAAUUAUAUGUGUGUUAUUGUAGUAUUCAAUUUAUGUUAGUUUGUUUCUGUUUCAAAUUGACAGAAGUGAUCUACACAGCAACUCUAGCUAUGUUACUUAGAUUUUUCAAAAAUGUCAACGGGUACGUGUUGGAUUCUUCAAAAGUUGUGUAUUUAUUAAGGAACCAACAUGAGCAGUGGCGGAUCCAGGAUUUUCAUUAAGGGGUUCGAAAAAAAGAGAGCAGUGCUUAAGAUUUGAGGUUUGAACCCCUCAACCACUAAACUAACCUCUAAUCUUAUAUUCAGGAGGUUCAAAAUCAAUAUAUAAACAUAAAAAUUCUUUAAAAUACCUUAAAUAUACAACAUAAUUUUUUGCCGAGGGAGUUGGUCCACCCCUGAACAUGGGUGCGACAUCAUCAUAUUUUAGGAGAGUCCGAGCAACAUAGCUCAUUAAUACAACAAAAUUGGAUAAAGCAGUGCAGUAAGCAUAUAGAGUUUGGUUCAUGAUUGAAAUUAGUUGAUAUUAGAAAGUUUAUAUUUGUGAAAAUUGAUGUAGAAGAAUGCUCAAAACUACAGAAGUGGCUAAUAAUUUUGUGGUACUUCAUCUUUCUAGUCAUAAAACAUCCUUAAAAUGUUCUCUAACUCAGUUUCAACUUCUGCAAUUUUUAUUUUGGUAGAUUUUUACAUAUAUUUAUACUUCAUGACGAGUGUUAUGUCUCACGUGAUCCAACAACUAAUUCAUACUGCUUGAUUAUGAAUGAGGAAAUUUUUUUGUUUUUGGGAAAAAUGCUCUCUGGAAUCGGCUCACUGGAAAGAUUCCAAGGGAACUGACAAGACUAAAAUUCCUGGCAGUCUAAAAACUCUGUCUGAAUGUUCUUUUUAGACCGAUUGCAUGCUCCUCGUCCAUUGGAGUCCGAAGAAGAAGAAGAAGAAGAGAGUCGUAUUUUGCUAGUUGUGGAUUAAUUGUUGUAACUGUCAUGUGGCACCUCAUGUUUAAAGAUGGUAAGCUGAACAUGUGAUCCUUCAAUACAAUUAGUCUCUCAGUUUUUUUUGCUUGAGUAUCAUUUUUUUUAUCUUCUUAAUUUGAUCACUAUACCUUUAUCUUGAGUCGAGGGUCUACAGAAACAACAUCUCCACUACUUUGGUUAUUUUCCAUCUCUUCAUAUUUGAACUGUAUCAUAUAGAUGGAAUUUCCCUCAUUAACUUAAUGUUAAAAAUCUUUUGGAAAACAGCACAAGAGACAACUAAUCGGAAAUUUCUCUACAGGUGGAAGGAUCUUCACCAAGUUAUUCAGAACAUACUAAUUAAGCAGGAAAACACAGAUCAAACAAAAUUUUGUAUAAAAUUCCACAAGGAGGAAAUGAAGGACUUAAAUCAUGUCUUUAAUUAUUGUUCAUUUUUUUCCUCACUUGACUUAGUCAAGCAAUAGUUUCUACCAUUUGAAAUUUCUAAGAAGUUCUGCAGAAAUUUUUUCUACAUAAUGGGACCAAUUUCACAUUAUCUUGCGUAACACACUGCAGAGAUAGUUAAUGACUUUGAAAUGAACACAACAUCAAGAGAAAAAUAGGACAUAGAGAGUAUUAUUUUGUUAAGUCUUCUCCGUCCUCUAAAAAGUCUUGUGGAACACUACAAAAUAUGAGUAUCAAGUUGUUAGAAGUGAGUAGUACUCAUCUUGUAAUUCAAUUGUUCAUCAGUCCCGAUUCAUCAUAAUCUUUUUUUUUCCUCUAGUCUUUGUGGAAAUUGGCUUAAAGUCUUACAAGUCAUCGUCCGCUAGUUACAAUACUGUAUCACUUUUUUCCUUAGUUGGAAUGGAAUAUUGAUGGAUUUUCCCUUAUUUACUUAAUGUGAAAAUUAUUGUGUACCUAACAAGUUUGAAAAUAGCAGAAGAGACAACUAAUCACUCACUCGGAUUGACCUUUUCUGAUUGUAUAGAUUUCAUGGAAAAAUUGCACCAAAAUUUAUUUAAUCCUCAAUUGACUUGGUCAUGCAACAGUUUCUCUUUGAAAAGUAUUGUGGAAAACAGAAGAGAUGUUGAUGGAAAGUUGGACAAGGUUGACAUAAAACAGGAGUUCAAAUAACUAUAAAAUAUGUAUGGAUUUUGAAAAAACAGAACAUUCUGUAAUAUGCUGUAAACAAAAAGUAAUUCCCGUGACCAGUUCAGUUCAAGGUUGGUCACGGGAGGGUUGAAUAAAAAUCACUUGAAAGUUGUUAAGGGGGUAUUUAAAUGUUCAUGUAGUUUAAGUCCUAAAGUAAAUUUGGCUAUCAAGUUUGAGGGUGAUUUUAGGAUUUUUCUCAAAAGUUAGCAGUCAAAUUGAAAAAAGUGUUCAAAUUGGGAAAAUAUGUAAAAAUUGUUAUUUUCCAUCUCUUCCUAUUUGAACUGUAUCAUAUAGAUGGAAUUUCCCUCAUUAACUUAAUGUGAAAAGUCUUCAGCACAAGAGACAACUAAUCGGAAAUUUCUCAUAAAAUUUCUCUGCAGGUGGAAUGAUCUUCACCAAGUUAUUCAAAACAUACUAAGCAAGCAGGAAAUGAAGGACUUAAAUCAUGUCUUUAAUUAUUGUUCAGUUUUUUCCUCACUUGACUUAGUCAAGCAAUAGUUUCUACCAUUUGAAAUUUCUAAGAAGUUCUGCAGAAAUUUUUUCUACAUAAUAGGACCAAUUUCACAUCAUCUUGUGUAACACACACUAUAGAGAUAGUUAAUGACUUCGAAAUGAACACAACAUCUAGAGAAAAUGAGGACAUAUGGAGUAUUAUUUUGUUAAGUCUUCUCCGUCCUCUAACAAGUCUUGUGGAACACUACAAAAUAUGAGUAACAAGUUGUUAGAAGUGACUAGUACUCAUUUUUGAUUCAAUUGUUCAUCAGUCCCGAUUCAUCAUAAUCUUUUCCCCCCCUCUAGUCUUUGAGGAAAUUAUCUUAAAGGCUUACAAGUCAUCGUCUGCUAGUUACAGUACCGUAUCCCUUUUUUCCUUAGGUGGAAUGGAAUAUUGAUGGAUUGUCCCUUAUUAACUUAAUGUGAAAAUUAUUGUGUACCUAACAAGUUUGAAAAUAGCAGAAGAGACAACUAAUCACUGACUCGGAAUAUUGACCUUUUAUGAUUGUAUAAAUUCCAUGGAAAAAUUGCAUAAAAAAUUAUUGCAUUCUUUGUGGAAAUUGUCUUAUUAAAGACUUUGGCUUCAAAGAACAAAAUAAAAUUCCACACGGUAUUAUUGUUUUGUUGUUACAUACUCUUAAGUUGAUGUCUUUAAUUAUUCUUCAUUUUUUUUCCUCACUUCAUGACUUAGUCAAGCAAUAGUUUCUCUCAUUGGAAAUUUUUCACAACUUAUGCAGAAAUAUUUUCUACUGUGAGUGUUACGUAACUUGACCAAUUUCACAUCAUCUUGCGUAACACACACCGUAGAGAUAGUCGAUCGAUGAUCUCGAAAUGAACAACAACAUCUAGGGAAAAUGAUGUGUACCAAGUCGUUAGAAGUGACUAGUACUCAUUCAUGGACCAUAUGUGACUGAAAAUUGACUUUACACUUGGGACAACAUUUUUUGCAACCACAAAUUAUUACCCCAUUUAUUUAAUUAUCUAUGUGUUUCUUUUCUUUCGUUAAUUUAUACCUCAAUAGUCCCAUGCAUAGACAAGUCAACAACGUUACUUUAUGAAAUAUUGUUUAGUUAAUUGUUUACUUUAUUUAAUGUGGAGGUUGUUGUAAUAAUUAAGAAAUGGAAUAGUGUUUAGUUACUUAUAGCAUCCUUUCCUACAUGGCUACUUAUUUUAUUGACUUAUUUAUAUCUUGGCAAUUAUCAUGAAUUUUGAUAAUGCAUGUUUUCAUUGAACACGGGUGCAACUUAGAAAGUAGUAUAUAUAUGUGUGGAUAAUACUGAUUGAUUUGUAAGAAGAACACAUCCAUCCUGUUAUUUGCUGAAAACAAACAAACAAAAAAUGGUCAUGAGUCUGUUUUUCUUUCAUUCAUUUCUGUAUUUUGUGUUGCUAAUAAGUAUGUUUUUCUUCUUCCUUUGAUCAUCAUCUUUGCUCUCCCACCGAAGCUUCUGCUUUGCUUCAGUUUAAGCAAUCUUUUGGAGUUGAUUACAACUACUCCAAAUGUUUUACUUCUUUCCCAAAAAGAAAGUCUUGGAAUGAGAGUAGGGAUUGCUGCAGUUGGGAUGGAGUCACUUGUGACUUAUUAAACGGUCAUGUUAUCGGGUUAGACCUUAGUUGUAGUCUGCUUAGUGGAAGUAUUCAUCCCAAUAGCACCCUCUUCCAACUUCAUCAUCUCCAGGCACUAAACCUUGCUUACAAUCACUUCAGCUAUUCUUCAAUCCCACAUAACAUUGGCCGAUUGACAAAUUUGGUUUCGCUUGAUCUUUCUUCUGAUUUUUAUGGACUACAACUUGAUGAGAGAACAUUUGAAACAAUGCUUCAAAACUUGACAAAUCUGGAAGUACUAUCUCUCUUUCUUGUCAACAUCUCAUCUCCGAUGCCUGUGAAUAUUUCUUCCUCUUUAAGGUACCUGGAUCUUCGUUAUACUAAUCUGCGAGGUGUUCUAACAGAGAGCUUUUUCCUUCUGCCAAACAGCUUGGAAACGCUCAAACUGAGUGGGAAUGAUCUUCUCAAAGGAGUUUUUCCAAAGAUCCACCGGAGCAACACUCUGUUAAUGGAGUUGGAUAUUUCAUACACAGGCAUCUCUGGUGAGCUGCCUCAUUCAAUUGGCACCUUUAGUUCAUUGAAAUACUUAAACCUCCAAGGAUGCCAAUUCUCUGGUUCCAUUCCUAAUUCCAUUGACAACCUAACCCAAAUUACGGAGUUGAUUUUAUCUUAUAAUCAUUUCACUGGACAUAUUCCUUCCACAAUCUCUAAAUUGAAGUACCUCACAAAUUUACAUCUUUCUGACAACUCCUUUUCAGGUGAAAUUCCUGAUGUUUUUUCUAAUCUCAAAGAGCUACGUUAUUUAGAUCUUUUUAAUAACAGCUUCAUCGGUCCAUUUCCUGCUUCAAUUUUAAGUUUGACACAUCUUGAAUACUUAGGAUUGUCGAGUAAUUCCCUAUCUGGCCCACUGCCUAGCAAAGCAAGCAUGCUUCAAAAGCUAUCCGAACUGCAUUUGUCUUACAACUCGCUGAAUGGUACCAUACCAUCUUGGGUGUUUAACCUCCCUUUGCUAUCUUCGUCGUGGCUCAAUCAUAAUCAAUUUAGUGGACUAGCCGAUGAGAUCAAAACAAACCCAACAUUAGAAUUCCUGUAUUUAAAUAAUAAUCAACUCAGCGGUUCUUUUCCUCAAUCACUUGUGAAUCUCACAAACCUUUCUACCCUUGACCUUUCAUCAAAUAACAUCACUAUUGAUGAGGGAAUGAAUAUCACCUUUCCUAGCCUUGAAAUUUUGCAGUUAUCAUCUUGUGAACUGAAGGAUUUUCCACACUUGUUGAGAAAUGUAAAGACACUUCAGGUCUUGGAUAUUUCUAACAAUAAGAUUUGUGGUCAAAUCCCUAACUGGUUUAGCGGCAUGAGGAUGGGACUCGUUGCAGCUAUUAAACCUUUCUCAUAAUUCAUUAACAGGCCACCUACCACAAUUUCAUUUCCAUAAUCUAGUGUCUCUUGAUCUGAAAUUUAACUCCCUUCAGGGUCCACUACCUUCAUCCAUUUGUAACAUGAGCAGACUUUUCUUAUUAGAUUUAUCACAUAACUACUUCAGUGACUCAGUUGCACAUUGCUUGGGAAGCAUGGCUAGUCUAACCGUGCUAGACUUGAGAAGGAACAAUUUCAUAGGGAAUCUUCCCCCAUUAUGUGCACAGGGCACUUCAUUGAGUACCAUUGUCGUAAAUGGUAAUCGAUUUGAAGGACCUGUACCUGUGUCGUUGCUCAAGUGUAAUGUUCUAGAAGUCCUUGAUGUGAGGAACAAUGCUAUAAAUGACACAUUUCCAGCUUGGCUCGGAACUCUUCAAGAGCUGCAGGUCCUUAUAUUAACGUCGAACAAGUUCCAUGGACCUAUAAGUACUUGUCAGACUAAGCUUUGCUUUCCCAACUUGCAAAUUUUUUAUCUUUCUCGUAAUGAUUUCAGUGGCUCACUUCCUGCAAAAGUUUUUGGAAACUUCAAGGCAAUGAUCAAAUUAGAUGACGAAGACACAAGAGAGAUCAAGUACAUGGAAUCUAAGUCAAAUUUGUCAUUUGACACAUCUUAUGAGGAUUCAGUGAGUUUGGUAAUCAAAGGGCACGAUAUUGAGCUACAAAGAAUCAGCACAAUUACGACAACCAUAGAUCUCUCAAGCAACCAUUUUGAAGGUGUCAUUCCGGAAACACUAAAGGAUCUCAGCGCACUUUGGCUACUCAAUUUAUCCCACAACAAUCUCAUAGGUCAUAUUCCAAUGGAAUUGGGGCAAUUGAAUACACUUGAAGCUUUAGAUCUCUCCUGGAAUCGGCUCACUGGAAAGAUUCCGCAGGAAUUGACAAGAAUAAACUUUCUAGCAGUCUUAAACCUCUCCCAAAAUCAUCUCGUCGGACCAAUUCCUCAAGGUCCACAAUUCAACACAUUUGGAUAUGACUCAUAUGGUGGCAACCUUGAUUUAUGUGGUCUUCCUUUAUCAAAGCAAUGUGAAACAAGUGAUUCAUCACAUGUUCCUCAACAAGAAGAUGAAGGCGAGUCAUAUUUUUUUAGUGGAUUUACGUGGGAAUCAGUAGUCAUAGGCUACAGUUGUGGUCUAGUUGUUGGAACUUUUCAUGUGGAGUCUCAUGUUUAAAUAUCGUAAGCCAAAAUGGUUUGUGGAAUUUUUUGAUGGACUCAUGCCUCACAAAAGAAGAAGGCCAAAGAAGAGAGCUCAGAGAUGACGGACUUAAUGGAAGAUUGAGAGGGUAACCUUGUCUUUGUUUGAUUUUGUGGACUAAUUAGUGAACUUUUCUGGUUCUGUUUUUGUCUUUUCAAUUUUCUAUUUGUUGUUUGUAUAUGUUUGAUAGAAACAUAAUUAUAUGUGUGUUAUUCAAGUUAUGUUAGUUUGUUUCUGUUUCAAGUUGAUAGAAGUGAUUUACACAGCCACUCAUUAGUUAUGUUACUCAGACUCUUCAAAAAUGUCAAC